Neofelis nebulosa (Clouded leopard) is the source of this 1880-nucleotide long non-coding RNA. RefSeq lists it as uncharacterized. Lineage: Eukaryota; Metazoa; Chordata; Mammalia; Carnivora; Felidae. The record is from RefSeq and is a predicted model, not a curated record. The transcript is spliced from 4 exons.
GUUCUAUUUUUGUGAGUGCCAGCUUAGAGGCCCACGGGCGUGGGGAGAGUUUGGAGCGCAGGGUCAGUGUUGCCUUCUUAGCCUGCGGCAGUCCGUGGACACGCAGACGUUAUAACCCGACGCCGACUAGGCACCUCGCGCUAACAAUUGCCGUGCGCACUGAGCACCCCCACGUGCACGGUGGUCUCGUGACGGCACAGGCCAGACCCCUCCCCUCUCUGUACCACCCCUCCCAGUGCCCCCCGGCAGCUGCCCGGUGCUCUUAGAAUGAGCUCCAAACUCCCUGUGUAAGCCAACCCCUGCCCGCUCCGUCCUAGCCACAGCCACUUCUCCCUCUCCCCUUCCUCACCAGACCCCUCGUGCCUUCGGUGCUUUACACAGAUCUUCUGCACGAAACCCACUGAGCUCUCCCCUGGGCCGGACCUCCCCAGCGGGGGCCUUCACUCACUCACACCUCCGCUGAGACCCCACCCCUCCCUUCCCAUCCUUGACCUUCCCCUCCCUCUCCAGGACUACCACAUCUGGCUUUCUGCAGCCUGGCACUUUUCACCCUCCCAAACGAUCUUGCUCACAUGUUCUUUCACUGGCGCAUUACCUGUCCCUUCUUAGCUCUCAGGUAGCCCCUGAGAGCGUGGACUUUGCCCAUCGUGCCCACUGCUGUGAUAUCGGUGCUAGGGGCCCGGCAGGCUUGCCAUCGCCAUUUGUUACCUGGAUGACUGCAUUGAAUAAUCAGCACAACCUUAUGGGCCCCGUGUUAUGACUCAGCCCAUUUUACAGAUGAAAAAACUGAGACAGAGGGAGGAGAAAUAAUUUGCCCAAAGGCACAAGAUUGGGGGGGUGGAAAUGAAGAGUCAGGAUUUGGGGUCCAAGAACUGCUAAAUCCAAAUGGAGCACGGACCAAGAAGGCUCAGCUGAGGACUUCGGGACAAAUCAGAAGGGAUCUGGAGGCUCCCCGGUCUGCAUUUCCUGGGUCAUUUUUGUUCCGGCAGAAGCUAGCGUUGUCUGGGAACCAAAGAACCUGACUAUAGGUCUUCUCUGCCUCAGCCCAAAACAGGGGAGGGGGAAGUGCGUGCCUCUCAGACCUGGGCCUGGGGGUGCCCGCCAUUUAGGCUGCAGUGAUGGGAAGAGAUCAGUUCCAUAAAGACAGCUGGUCAAGGCCCCCUGGUUCUCUGCCCCUAAGGCCACUUCCCAACCCUCGCCUGGAUGCACCGGUCCCCCACACGCCCUCUGCACACCAGCACACUCCAAGGAACAGGUUCUCCUUGAGAGAGAGGCCUCUUGGGAACCUGCCUGUGCUCCACGAAAUGAGUGAUGUGGGGACACGUGGGAUUAUUAACCACAGUGCAGGAAGGGGUUGAGGAAAUUGUUGCUGGCCGCCCUUCCCUCCCCCGAGCUCUUGGCUUGGUGGGACACCGGCCCCCUUUCCUCACCUGCUCGUAGAUGUUUCUCAUCAGCUCCACGAAGCUCUGCAAGCCUUUUAAUUUGGUCUCCAGUUCGGUCCGCCGGAGACACUCCGCAUCCAGGUCCUGAGGGUGGGAGCAGUGAAUCUCCAUUUCCAGCAAGCUGUGCUUUCGGUCAAGUCUGCUCCAAGAUGCCCGCUCACCGCUCACCCUCUCCCUCCACCUCGUCUGCUUUGCUCGCUGGUAGGACACCAUUCCAUCAUGGUCCCUCUGGAGGGGAGAGUGUGGACAUUGCAGCCAGAGGGACCCACAGUGUGCUCUUGGGCAGCAGGCUCCAGAGCCACACUACUGGGGCUCAGAUCCUGGCUCCUCGCUCCCUAGCCACGUGAGCUCGAAGAAGCUACUUGCGUGCGCCUCGGUCAUGAUAACAGUGAUGUCACGAGGGUUAUGUAAGUUAAUACAUGGAGUGUUUGCAAAGUG